RNAcentral lists this ribosomal RNA (359 nucleotides) under Carabus nodulosus nodulosus. Its description in RNAcentral is "partial 12S ribosomal RNA". Lineage: Eukaryota; Metazoa; Arthropoda; Insecta; Coleoptera; Carabidae. The record is from RNAcentral.
UUUAAAUGUAAAAUUAAUAUACUAAAGUAGUAUUAGUUAUGUUCUUGAAAUUUAAAGAUUUUGGCGGUAUUUUAGUCUAUUUAGAGGAACCUGUUCUAUAAUUGAUAAUCCACGAUUAAUUUUACUUAAUUUAUAUAAAUUUGUAUACCGUCGUUAUAAGAAGAUUUUAAAAGAAUUUAAAUUUUUAAUAUUUUAUAUAAAAAAAUAUAUCAGAUCAAGGUGCAGUUAAUAAUUAAGAAGAAAUGGGUUACAAUAAAUUUAUUUAUGUACGGAUUAGGACAAGAAUUUUGGUUUUAUGAAGGUGGAUUUAAUAGUAAUAAUAAUUAAUUUAAAUUUUAUGAUUUUAGCUCUAAAAUAUG